RNAcentral lists this ribosomal RNA (433 nucleotides) under uncultured bacterium. Its description in RNAcentral is "partial 16S ribosomal RNA". It matches the Rfam family "Bacterial small subunit ribosomal RNA", at positions 29 to 507 of the family's 1533-position model. The record is from RNAcentral.
AACGAACGCUGGCGGCAUGCCUAACACAUGCAAGUCGAACGAGACCUUCGGGUCUAGUGGCGCACGGGUGCGUAACGCGUGGGAAUCUGCCCUUGGGUUCGGAAUAACAGUUGGAAACGACUGCUAAUACCGGAUGAUGACGUAAGUCCAAAGAUUUAUCGCCCAAGGAUGAGCCCGCGUAGGAUUAGCUAUUUGGUGAGGUAAAGGCUCACCAAGGCGACGAUCCUUAGCUGGUCUGAGAGGAUGAUCAGCCACACUGGGACUGAGACACGGCCCAGACUCCUACGGGAGGCAGCAGUGGGGAAUAUUGGACAAUGGGCGAAAGACUGAUCCAGCAAUGCCGCGUGAAUGAUGAAGGCCUUAGGGUUGUAAAGCUCUUUUACCCGGGAUGAUAAUGACAGUACCGGGAGAAUAAGCGCCGGCAAACUCCGUG